This 91-nucleotide small nucleolar RNA is filed under the name Astyanax mexicanus (Mexican tetra). RNAcentral's name for it is "Small nucleolar RNA U3 (ENSAMXG00005019897.1)". It matches the Rfam family "Small nucleolar RNA U3", at positions 1 to 93 of the family's 219-position model. Rfam says of the family: Small nucleolar RNAs (snoRNAs) are involved in the processing and modification of rRNA in the nucleolus. There are two main classes of snoRNAs: the box C/D class, and the box H/ACA class. The record is from RNAcentral. Lineage: Eukaryota; Metazoa; Chordata; Actinopteri; Characiformes; Acestrorhamphidae.
UAGACUAUACUUUCAGGGAUCAUUUCUAUAGUUUAUGGUAGUAUAAGUUAAGGUAGGGUACUUAUGAGGACAAACAGUGGUACAGGGUAGU